CAAUCUGAAAACGGUCGCACGGUUUGCUUCCAUUUCCGUGUUGAACGACAUGUUUCCUCGGAACGGUGUGAAAUGCCUUUGAGUUAUGUUUUCACUUGUUUAGUGAGUGUGUCUCUCGUUUAAAGGCACACACACA
Molecule: long non-coding RNA, 136 nt
Organism: Etheostoma spectabile (orangethroat darter)
Lineage: Eukaryota; Metazoa; Chordata; Actinopteri; Perciformes; Percidae
Exons: 3
Source: RefSeq, a predicted model, not a curated record